UUUUGUUCAUGGUGACAUGGGAUUCUCCCUGAGGGCUAAGGAUUCCAUCCCAGGUCCCAUUGUUGACGACCAGUGCUGAGGAGACCCUGAAGCAGAGUGUCUGUGGAGACUCUAGAGUGACAAGAAUGUGUGUUGACAAUCAGGGACCCUACAACUUCCCAUGAUCCUUCGGGCUGGCGCUGGAACACCCAGGAUGUGUCUGCAAACAGCAGCCACUCCUGUCUCACAGCUGAGCAGUGCACACUGCCAGGGACACUGGACCGAGAGGUGACGCUGAGGGCUUGAACACUCCUGACAGCUACUGUAGACGUCCCACACUCUCUGCAGGACCACCCAGAUGUUGAUGUCCUGGACGAGGAACCACUGAAGAUUCAGAGUGACAGCACCCCGCCUAUCCCUUGCCACAGGUAUUACCUUUUGUUAUUGACGUUGCCAUCCGGGUUAUCACUCAGGCUUCGACAUUC
Molecule: long non-coding RNA, 464 nt
Organism: Erinaceus europaeus (western European hedgehog)
Lineage: Eukaryota; Metazoa; Chordata; Mammalia; Eulipotyphla; Erinaceidae
Exons: 2
Source: RefSeq, a predicted model, not a curated record